GAACUUACCCCCAAGCUUGAAAAGCUUGCCGCGAUGCCGGGCGUGGCGGAAACGCCGGAAAGCAAAAUUGCGCUGGCGCGCGCCUGGCUUCGGUGCUGGCGCAACAACGGUUUUUGGCUCGCGGGUAUGCCCUCCACGUGGCAGAACCGAUCAAGGGCCGACGGCGUAAGCGUCAAGGACAAGAAGGGCAAAGGCAAGUUCAGGGCCAUGGACGUGGUGCUCACGGACAAGAGCGCCCGCAAAGUUUUCAACGAAAAGUGGACCCCGGAGCUUCUGGCGUUAUUUACCGUCGAUUUGGGCGGC
This 303-nucleotide unclassified non-coding RNA is filed under the name uncultured fungus. RNAcentral's name for it is "sequence contains ITS1". The record is from RNAcentral. Lineage: Eukaryota; Fungi.